CUUUGCUGGAGUUUUGUAAGUGAGCCCAGGAUAGGGGUGGAAAGGUUGCUCUGUGGUGUUUUGCUUGGCCGCUGUGCUACAGUUCGUGUAUCAGGAUGUAUUUGGGCAUCGUCCCUCAGCCACAGCUCUGCCUGCUGAGGAGGACACCCACUUGUCAGUGCCCUGAGCUGAAGAUGAUCUCUUGGAUUUUAAACAAAGGCUCAAGUUCUUUAAGACUGAAUGGGAAACUCUGUCAUGUCCUUUUAACAGAACAGAGGAUUUUAAUCUCUUCUGUGGAAUGGCUCCAAAGAUCUCAAAAACUUGGCUUCAGCAAGACUUUUGACACUGACUCCCAUAGCAUCCUUGUAGAACCCAAAGAAAACUAACUGGAAUACCUCAAAAUAUCCUGCAGAAAGUCUCUUAGUUGUGAAUGUACAUGCCUGAAUAAGAACACGGCCCACUCCCUUCUCAUGGCAACAUGGGUUGUCGUAGAAGAAAUAUCUUGGGAUAUGGUACUACAAAAACUGUUGGAAGAAAUUAGUAGAGCAGAAAAAGAACUCGCAAGCCCCACAACAGUGACAAGAUAGCAGUGGUGGAAGCAGGUCCUGCAUGGGAGCAAGAAGACUAUUUAAUUCCAUUGUUCUUGCAGUGUCUCUUGUUUACUGUCUUUGAAUAUUCAAAUGUGUGCAUUGAUGGGGACUUUCAGUUGAUAUGGAGAUCAAGUAAUUUUGUUUGCUGGGAAUACUAGCAGCUCUCAUAAUAGUCAGCAGGGCAAACCCAAGGAGAUGGUCAAAGUGAUGGACUGCAAGCUGAAACUAAAAGGCUGUGGGGUAGGAAUCAUAUUACCUCAAGAAAAUGGAGCAGAAUGGAUGGAGGGACGCUGAUUGCCAAGGUGUUCUGGAAAACAUUAUGUACAAGUUCAAACAUUUGGCUAGUAGAUUUCUGUCUAGAAAAUCUUAUUACUGUGUAACCUUGUUUGUGGAGAAUGAAAGGAAUCUGAGAUAAUGUAGAUCUAGUGCCUUACUUAGUAUCUAUAUUUGCUACUGCCAGUCAAAGGGAUGUCUUACUAGGCUUCUCCUUCUCACAGUGUAUUAGACACUUCAGUUUUUCUGCGGAACCAUUCGUUUUUGAGCCAGCAGCUUGAGGAUGUUUUUGUAACAGAUGCAGUAGUUAGAGCUGAAUAAAAGCAAAUGUGAUGAUUAGUGUGGGAAGAUUCUCUUAAUUUAUGACAGAAUAGAGUGUCUUAGUCUUUUUGCAGCCCAAAGGCCUACAAAUUGUAGGUUAUUUAUUGGUUUUCGUGCCGUCACUUUUCUUUUGCUGACCCUUUGUGGUUUUAAAAAUACUGCCUAGGGCAAACAUUAAGAAUUUAAACUUCUAUUACCCUAGCAGAACAGUGUCUCGGCAGCAGUGGCUAAAAAAGCACCUGAUUUCCAAAGGCUUAAUGGGUUUUCUGUGUUUUUUCAAUCAUUCCAGGAUUGGUAUGGUUAACCAUCAGUGAAGUAACAAUCAUCAUUUCAUUUUACUCAGGUGCAGAUGAGAUGCAUGUACUUGCCUCUCACAGCUGAAAUAGGGGGCUGUCAGCUUAGACAGAUCUCAUUUUAAAUGAUCCAAAAUGCCAGUGGCUGAGUGCCUUACCAUGUUUAUACUAUGCUUUCAGUGUCCAGAGUUUCAUAAAUUUCCUUCACUGAGAUGAAAUUGAAAUAGCAGGAUAAGUAAAGUACAAAUAUAGCUGCCUCUUGGCCUUUUCAGUACACUUAGUGUUGGAAAAAAACAAACUGGGCAGACAUAGUCCUUUUGCUUUGUCACAUGUCUGUCCUGAGUCAUGUUAGCAGUCAGGGGAGUACGUAGGUGGUCCUGUCUUAAUGUUCUAAUCCUGAAAUAAGAAUUGCAAUAUGCUGUUUUUCCUAUAAAUAUCAACCAUUCAAAAUGUGAGGCAUAUUUUCCUUUGUAUAUCACUCACAAAGCCUACUGCUGGCUCAGAUGAUGUUUGUAUCUAUCCCAUUAGAGAACCGAUGUCCUUAUCUUAGACAAAAUGUUGCAACACAUUUUGAGAUCACAUUUGCAAAUAAGUUCCCUUAUUAGGGAAGGAUACUGACUGUUUUUCAGUGCAUAUAGCCUGUAUAGUACUGCUUCAGUGGAACUUGGCUAUAAAGAAUUUCUUGAGGUAAUUUAACUACUACAAGUUGAGCUACAAUGUAAAUUUUCUACUUUGCAACACCAAGUCCUGCUUUCUCUUCUGUAAAACGGUGCCACAGAGAUGCUGAAUCUCUAGAUGAGCCCUUCCAUGGUCUCUGAUAUAAUGGAAGAAUUUUCCGGAAAGCCGAGAUUUUGCAGAGAGGCCCUGUAAUAAACAUUGUCAAUUACAGCUUUUAA
Long non-coding RNA from Lagopus leucura (white-tailed ptarmigan), 2352 nucleotides. RefSeq lists it as uncharacterized. The record is from RefSeq and is a predicted model, not a curated record. Lineage: Eukaryota; Metazoa; Chordata; Aves; Galliformes; Phasianidae. The transcript is spliced from 5 exons.